UACGAAGGGUGCAAACGUUGCUCGGAAUUACUGGGCGUAAAGCGCGUGUAGGCGGGUUUUUAAGUCAGGGGUGAAAUGCCAAGGCUCAACCUUGGAACUGCCUUUGAUACUGGAGACCUUGAGUCCGGGAGAGGUGAGUGGAAUUGCGAGUGUAGAGGUGAAAUUCGUAGAUAUUCGCAAGAACACCAGUGGCGAAGGCGGCUCACUGGCCCGGAACUGACGCUGAGACGCGAAAGCGUGGGGAGCAAACAGG
This 253-nucleotide ribosomal RNA is filed under the name uncultured bacterium. RNAcentral describes it as "partial 16S ribosomal RNA". It matches the Rfam family "Bacterial small subunit ribosomal RNA", at positions 524 to 776 of the family's 1533-position model. The record is from RNAcentral.